Molecule: non-coding RNA, 4063 nt
Organism: Phoenix dactylifera (date palm)
Lineage: Eukaryota; Viridiplantae; Streptophyta; Magnoliopsida; Arecales; Arecaceae
Source: RefSeq, a predicted model, not a curated record
UCCUUUUUCAGGUUCAGGAGUCCCUUUUCUUUAUAUCGAGUUUAUUUUGAUGACUAUUUCCUCCGUGGAUUUCGAGCAAUACAAGAAGCAUCCCGGCUUUCCAAUCCAUUCGCUGGUCUUAACAUGUCCCGCUUCACCCAGAACUUCAAUUUGGCCUGAAGCGAGCUUAUCAUCAAUCUGUUUCCUUCACCUUCUGUUCUUGUUGGAUUAAGGUUACAAAGUUGUGGGUGCUCCAUUACUGCUGGAAACUUUAUUAUGUCUACCGCAAAUAAUGAAGGCAGUUGCAGCUUGUUGGGGAAUGGAGUUGUUGGAAUCCUUGCUGAGUCUAUCAACAUAUGGGAGAGAAGAGCACCACUGACUCCAUCCCACUGUGCCCGCCUUCUACUUGGCGGCAAGGGUAAAACUGGAGUUGAACGUAUCAUUGUGCAGCCAAGCACAAAGCGUAUCCAUCACGAUGCUCAGUAUGAGGAUGUUGGGUGUGAAAUAUCGGAUGAUCUAUCUGAAUGCGGUCUCAUUAUUGGGAUCAAACAACCAAAGUUGGAGAUGGUUCUUCCAGAUAGAGCAUAUGCCUUCUUCUCCCACACCCACAAGGCCCAGAAAGAAAACAUGCCUCUUUUAGAUAAGAUUCUUGCUGAAAGGGUGUCUUUAUAUGACUAUGAGCUUAUUGUGGGGAAUAAUGGGAAAAGAUUUAUGGCAUUUGGAAAAUUUGCUGGUAGAGCUGGGCUGAUUGACUUCUUACAUGGGCUAGGACAACGAUACUUGACUCUGGGAUAUUCAACACCUUUCCUGUCACUUGGGGCAUCUCAUAUGUAUUCUUCUCUUGCUGCAGCGAAAGCUGCAGUCAUUGCUGUGGGUGAAGAAAUAGCCACCCUGGGACUGCCAUCUGGAAUUACUCCUAUAGUCUUUGUAUUCACCGGGGAUGGAAAUGUUUCUCAGGGUGCACAAGAGAUAUUUAAGCUCUUACCUCAUACCUUCGUGGAUGCUCACAGACUUCCAGAACUUUUUAGACCGGCUGGAGAUUUAGCUCAACAUUCUCAACCAAUGAGGAGAGUCUCUCAAGUAUAUGGAUGUGUUGUGACUUGUCAAGACAUGGUUGCACCCCGGGAUUCUACUAAAAGUUUUGAUAAAGCUGAUUAUUAUGCCCAUCCAGAACACUAUUAUCCUGUUUUUCAUGAAAGAAUCGCUCCAUAUGCAUCUGUCAUCGUGAAUUGUAUGUAUUGGGAGAAAAGAUUUCCUCGGUUGCUGACUACUAAGCAGCUGCAAGAACUGACGAAGAAAGGAUGUCCACUUGUUGGAGUUUCUGAUAUAACUUGUGAUAUUGGUGGUUCAAUUGAAUUUGUUAACCAAACUACAUUUAUAGAGAGGCCUUUCUUCAGGUAUGACCCAUUCACUGAUUCAUACCAUGCUGACAUGGAGGGUGAUGGUGUAAUUUGCUUAGCUGUUGACAUCCUCCCAACAGAGUUUUCCAGGGAGGCUUCUCAACAUUUUGGAGAUAUUCUAUCUCAAUUCGUUGGUAGAUUGGCUUCAGCUAGGAGCAUAAUGGAGCUGCCAUCUCACUUGAGAAAAGCGUGCAUAGCUCAUGCUGGAGCACUUACUUCUUUGUACGAAUAUAUUCCUCGAAUGAGAAAAACUUCAACAGAUCCAUCAUCAAAUCAAACAAAUGAUUCAUCUAGCAAGAAGAAGUACACAACACUGGUAUCUCUUAGUGGUCACUUGUUUGAUCAAUUUUUAAUUAAUGAUGCUCUGGAUGUUAUUGAAGCUGCUGGUGGAUCUUUUCGCUUGGUUAGAUGUGAUGUGGGUCAAAGUUCAAAUGCCAUGUCCUAUUCAGAACUUGAAGUUGCUGCUGAUGACACUGCCAUCCUUGAUAAGAUAAUAGAUUCCCUAACUUCUAUUGCAAAUCCAAGUAAAGAUGGAGUCUUCAACAAAGAAAAAGAAUUAUCUUUGAAGAUAGGCAAAGUUAGUGAAAGCAAAGUGGAGGUCAGAAGUAGCAUUAAGAAAGUUCCAGCAGUUUUAAUUCUUGGUGCAGGCCGUGUUUGCCGACCAGCUGCUGAAUUUUUAGCAUCAGGAGGGAGCAUAUCCUGCAGUGACUCCUUAAAAACAUGUCAGGGUAUUAAUGUUGAAGAAAUUGAAGGACUUCAACUUAUUGUAGCAUCUCUUUACCUGAAGGAUGCAGAAGAGACUAUUGAAGGUAUUCAAAAUGCAACAGCUAUUCAACUUGAUGCUAUGGAUUACGGAAGGCUGUCUGAGUAUGUAUCACAGGUUGAAGUUGUGAUUAGCUUACUCCCUCCUAGUUUUCAUGCAGUCAUAGCCAACGCAUGCAUAGAGCACAAGAAGCACAUGGUGACUGCAAGCUAUGUUGAUGACUCCAUGUCAAGGUUGGAUGAAAAGGCGAAAAGUGCGGGUGUUACAAUACUCUGUGAAAUGGGCCUGGAUCCUGGCAUAGAUCACAUGAUGGCAAUGAAGAUGAUCGACCAUGCACAUGUCGGGAAGGGGAAAAUAAAAUCAUUUACUUCUUACUGUGGUGGACUUCCAUCUCCUGCUGCUGCAAACAAUCCGCUAGCUUACAAGUUCAGUUGGAGCCCAGCUGGUGCAAUUCGUGCAGGGCGGAACUCAGCCACUUACAAAUCUAUGGGGAAGAUUGUUCAUGUUGAUGGAAAUGAACUUUAUGACUCAGCAACAAGAUUUCGCAUACCAGAACUUCCAGCCUUUGCUUUGGAGUGCCUCCCAAACCGGAACUCAUUACUAUACGGGGACUUAUACGGAAUCACCAAUGAGGCAUCAACCAUAUUUAGGGCCACCCUCCGCUAUGAAGGUUUUAGUGAAGUAAUGGCAAGUCUAGCAAAAAUUGGUUUUUUUGAUGCUGAACCUCAUCCCAUGUUGAAAGGUGGUCAAAGACCAACAUUUAGUGCCUUUCUAAAUGGACUUCUCAACACCAAACACUCUUCUCCAGUGAAUGGUAACAACCCGGAAGGAUCAACUGGAGAUGAAAAGGAAAUGGUUAAGAGCUUGAUUCUGAGUGGGCACUGCAAAGAAACGACGACAGCAGUGAAGACGAUCAAAACUAUCAAGUUCUUGGGACUUCAUGAGGAUGAGGAAAUCCCGGUGGCAUGUUUGAGUGCAUUUGAUGUUGUGUGCUUGCGCAUGGAACACAGAUUAGCCUACUCCAGCAAAGAGCAGGAUAUGGUGCUUUUACAUCAUGAAGUGGAAGUGGAGUUUCCUGAUGGCAGACCCACUGAAAACCGCCAGGCUACCCUGCUAGAAUUCGGAAGGGUGCAAAAUGAUGAAACAACAACUGCAAUGGCUCUUACAGUUGGGAUUCCAGCAGCAAUAGGAGCUCUGCUCUUACUUCAGAACAAUGUCCAGAGGAGAGGUGUAAUUAGACCUCUCGAACCAGAAGUCUACUUGCCAGGGAGCUAAUGAAAGAUCGUAGGGCAGAGAAUAGCGUUCGGAGGGAGGGGCAUCAGGUAUCCUGCUGUGCUGAACAGCCAAAUGUGAAACUCGAUCUUGAUUGGCUAAUUUUAUGUUAAAGCACCAUUAUAGCUCAACAAAAUGUCAAAAAUCACAAAUGUUGGAGUUAUAUAGAAGUUUCAUGGAGCUACCAACUUGCUAGUAAAUUUUCUUGACAGUUGUACACAAGACCUAGAUUCAAAUGCCACAAGUUAUAUGUUCAAAUCCCACCAUUUUCAGAGUUUGGGAAGUUAAAAAGGUGAAGGCAAUAAGAGCAAGAAAACAUGGAAAAUAUUCCUUGCUCUUCUGGAAAAGAUUUUCAAAGAACCUCAUCUUCGCGUGGGGUACUUGCAACAAGACAACAAGGGCUGCAUGCAUUCCAAAUUCAAAACAUGGUGAAGCUUCUGGGCCAAUAACUAGAAGAAAAGAAAGAGAAGGUCCCAAACAGCAUAACAGAGACCUAUGCUUCACUGCUGCAAGAGCCAAGAGACUGCUUGCAUCAUGUAUCUAGGCCAGAGUUUUGGGCUAAUUUAUCUGGAAACAUGAGAUAAAUGGCUAAAUGCUCACCAAACAGUAAUCCUGAGGGAUCGCAGAAUUGAUUCAACUCUCUUCUUCU